UACGUAGGGGGCGAGCGUUGUCCGGAUUUAUUGGGCGUAAAGAGCGUGUAGGCGGCCAGGUAGGUCUGCUGUGAAAACUCGAGGCUCAACCUCGAGACGUCGGCGGAAACCAUCUGGCUAGAGUCCGGAAGAGGAGAGUGGAAUUCCUGGUGUAGCGGUGAAAUGCGUAGAGAUCAGCAGGAACACCCGUGGCGAAGGCGGCCCCCUGGGCCGAACCUGACGCUGAGGCGCGAAGGCUAGGGGAGCGAACGGG
This 253-nucleotide ribosomal RNA is filed under the name uncultured bacterium. RNAcentral describes it as "partial 16S ribosomal RNA". It matches the Rfam family "Bacterial small subunit ribosomal RNA", at positions 524 to 776 of the family's 1533-position model. The record is from RNAcentral.